This 110-nucleotide ribosomal RNA is filed under the name Alligator mississippiensis (American alligator). Lineage: Eukaryota; Metazoa; Chordata; Crocodylia; Alligatoridae. The record is from RNAcentral.
GUGGGUGGCCAUGCUGGCCUGAAUGUACCUGCUCUUGGAAGCUAAGCAGUCCUGGGCCUGGUCCUAGUACCCUGCAGGAGACCAGAUGGGAAUCCCAGGUGCUGUUGAUA